This 945-nucleotide long non-coding RNA is filed under the name Homo sapiens (human). Its description in RNAcentral is "HSALNT0305741". The record is from RNAcentral. Lineage: Eukaryota; Metazoa; Chordata; Mammalia; Primates; Hominidae.
CUCACCCUCUUUUUCAUCUUCAUCACUGUCCAUUUUUUGCUUUUUGUGUUCUUCCUCCUCACUAUCAGAACUGUGAAACUUUUUUCUGUCCAUAUGGCUGUCUGAAUGGAAGGAGUCAUUCUGCAUUUCUGUAUCCUCUCCCUUAUUCUCCCUGUCGCUGUCAUCAUCUGACUCUGGCUUCUGUUUGUGUCUGGACGCAUCCUCAGUUUCUGAGUCACUGGCAGGCCCCUUCUGAGGCCCCUCACUCUCAGAGUCACUGACUCGGGGUUUGGGUAGCUCCUCAUUUUCCGAAUCACUGGCCUGGUUCCUUGGGGGAUCCUCACUUUCCGAAUCACUGAUUCGGGGUUUGGGAAGCUCCUCAUUUUCAGAGUCACUGGCCUGGUGCCUUGGGGGUUCCUCACUUUCUGAAUCACUGACCUGAGGUUUAGGAAGCUCCUCACUUUCAGAAUCACUCAUUCGAGGUUUGGGAGGCUCCUCAUUUUCGGAGUCACUGGCUUGGUGCCUUGGGGGUUCCUCACUCUCAGAGUCACUGAUUUGAGGUUUUAGAGCAUCUUCUGUUUCAGAGUCACUAGCAGGACUCUUCUGGAGCUCCUCAAUCUCAGAAUCACUGGCGGGAUGCUUCCCAACAUCUUCGUUUUCUGAGUCACUUGCAUGCCCAUUAAGAAGUUCCUCAUUUUCAGAGUCACUACCAGGUAAUUUCCUGGUCUCUUCACUCUCAGAGUCGCUCCCAUGCUGAUUGACAUCCUCAUUUUCAGAAUCGCUUGCAGGAGGCUCUGCACGUUCCUCAGAUUCAGAGUCGCUGUCCUUUUGCCUGUGAAGCUCCUCACUUUCAGAGUCACUAGCAUUAAGAUUUAAGGGCUCAUCGUUCUCAGAGUCUGUCACAUGAUGUCCUUUGGGGAGGCCAUCUUCUCGAUCACUAGUUUCAUUCUGAAAAAUAAAGUGAGA